GCCGGAUGUGGUGGUGUGUGCCUGUAGUCCCAGCUAAUCAGGAGGCUGAGACAGGAGGAUUGCUUGGGUCCAGGAGUUCUGGGCUGUAGUGCACUAUGCCAAUUGGGUGUCCGCACUCAGUUUGGGCAUCAAUAUGGUGACUUCCCGGAAGUGGGGGCCACCAGGUUGCCUAAGAAAGGGAAAACUGGCCCAGGUCGGAAAUGGAGCAGAUUAAAACCCUGGUGCUGAUAAGUAGUGGGACUGCACUUGUGAACAACCACUGCACUCCAGCCUGGGCAACAUAGUGAGACCCUGUGUCUU
Non-coding RNA from Otolemur garnettii (small-eared galago), 300 nucleotides. NCBI's taxonomy places the organism in Eukaryota, Metazoa, Chordata, Mammalia, Primates, Galagidae. The record is from Rfam.